RNAcentral lists this ribosomal RNA (548 nucleotides) under uncultured bacterium. RNAcentral describes it as "bacterial SSU rRNA". It matches the Rfam family "Bacterial small subunit ribosomal RNA", at positions 356 to 896 of the family's 1533-position model. The record is from RNAcentral.
GGGGAAUUUUGGACAAUGGGCGCAAGCCUGAUCCAGCCAUGCCGCGUGUCUGAAGAAGGCCUUCGGGUUGUAAAGGACUUUUGUCAGGGAAGAGAAGGCUGUUGCUAAUAUCGACAGCUGAUGACGGUACCUGAAGAAUAAGCACCGGCUAACUACGUGCCAGCAGCCGCGGUAAUACGUAGGGUGCGAGCGUUAAUCGGAAUUACUGGGCGUAAAGCGAGCGCAGACGGUUACUUAAGCAGGAUGUGAAAUCCCCGGGCUCAACCUGGGAACUGCGUUCUGAACUGGGUGACUAGAGUGUGUCAGAGGGAGGUAGAAUUCCACGUGUAGCAGUGAAAUGCGUAGAGAUGUGGAGGAAUACCGAUGGCGAAGGCAGCCUCCUGGGAUAACACUGACGUUCAUGCUCGAAAGCGUGGGUAGCAAACAGGAUUAGAUACCCUGGUAGUCCACGCCCUAAACGAUGUCAAUUAGCUGUUGGGCAACUUGAUUGCUUAGUAGCGUAGCUAACGCGUGAAAUUGACCGCCUGGGGAGUACGGUCGCAAGAUUA